UACGGAGGGAGCUAGCGUUGUUCGGAAUUACUGGGCGUAAAGCGCACGUAGGCGGCGAUUCAAGUCAGGGGUGAAAGCCCGGGGCUCAACCCCGGAACUGCCUUUGAAACUAGAUUGCUAGAAUCCUGGAGAGGUUAGUGGAAUUCCGAGUGUAGAGGUGAAAUUCGUAGAUAUUCGGAAGAACACCAGUGGCGAAGGCGACUAACUGGACAGGUAUUGACGCUGAGGUGCGAAAGCGUGGGGAGCAAACAGG
This 253-nucleotide ribosomal RNA is filed under the name uncultured bacterium. Its description in RNAcentral is "partial 16S ribosomal RNA". It matches the Rfam family "Bacterial small subunit ribosomal RNA", at positions 524 to 776 of the family's 1533-position model. The record is from RNAcentral.